This 73-nucleotide transfer RNA is filed under the name Loxodonta africana (African savanna elephant). It matches the Rfam family "tRNA". Rfam says of the family: Transfer RNA (tRNA) molecules are approximately 80 nucleotides in length. Their secondary structure includes four short double-helical elements and three loops (D, anti-codon, and T loops). Lineage: Eukaryota; Metazoa; Chordata; Mammalia; Proboscidea; Elephantidae. The record is from Rfam by way of RNAcentral.
GUCUGGGUAGCUCAGUCAGUAGAGCAUUGGACUUUCAGUCUGAGGGUCCAAGGUUCAAGUCCCUGUCCAGGCA